This 200-nucleotide ribosomal RNA is filed under the name uncultured bacterium. RNAcentral's name for it is "partial 16S ribosomal RNA". It matches the Rfam family "Bacterial small subunit ribosomal RNA", at positions 29 to 229 of the family's 1533-position model. The record is from RNAcentral.
AGUGAACGCUGGCGGAAUGCUUUACACAUGCAAGUCGAACGGCAGCACGGGAGCAAUCCUGGUGGCGAGUGGCGAACGGGUGAGUAAUAUAUCGGAACGUGCCCAGUUGUGGGGAUAGCCCGGGCGAAAGCCGGAUUAAUACCGCAUACGACCUAAGGGUGAAAGCGGGGGAUCGCAAGACCGUCGCGCAAUUGGAGCGG